RNAcentral lists this ribosomal RNA (264 nucleotides) under uncultured bacterium. RNAcentral describes it as "partial 16S ribosomal RNA". It matches the Rfam family "Bacterial small subunit ribosomal RNA", at positions 88 to 354 of the family's 1533-position model. The record is from RNAcentral.
AUGGCGACCGGCGCACGGGUGCGUAACGCGUAUGCAACCUACCUUUUACAGGGGCAUAACACUGAGAAAUUGGUACUAAUUCCCCAUAAUAUCUGAGACGGCAUCGUUUUGGUUGAAAACUCCAGUGGUAAAAGAUGGGCAUGCGUUGUAUUAGCUAGUUGGUGAGGUAACGGCUCACCAAGGCGACGAUACAUAGGGGGACUGAGAGGUUAACCCCCCACAUUGGUACUGAGACACGGACCAAACUCCUACGGAAGGCAGCAG